CAACCACUAUCCGCCCUGCCGCC
RNAcentral lists this microRNA (23 nucleotides) under Aedes aegypti (yellow fever mosquito). RNAcentral's name for it is "aae-miR-34-3p". Its record names the gene aae-miR-34-3p. Lineage: Eukaryota; Metazoa; Arthropoda; Insecta; Diptera; Culicidae. The record is from miRBase by way of RNAcentral.